UACGGCUCAGUAACACGUGGAUAACCUGCCCUGCGGUGGGAAAUAACCCCGGGAAACUGGGGAUAAUGUCCCAUAGACUACGGAUACUGGAAUGUUCUGUAGUUCAAAGAUUUAUCGCCACAGGAUGGGUCUGCGGCCGAUUAGGUAGUUGUUGGGGUAACGGCCCAACAAGCCCUUGAUCGGUACGGGUUGUGGGAGCAAGAGCCCGGAGAUGGAUUCUGAGACACGAAUCCAGGCCCUACGGGGCGCAGCAGGCGCGAAAACUUUACAAUGCGGGAAACCGUGAUAAGGGAACUCCGAGUGUCCGUAAAUGCGGACUGUCCGUAUGUUUAAAAAGCAUGCGAAGAAAGGGCCGGGCAAGACCGGUGCCAGCCGCCGCGGUAAUACCGGCGGCUCGAGUGGUGGCCACUAUUACUGGGCUUAAAGCGUUCGUAGCUGGGUUGUUUAGUCUCUUGGGAAAUCUACCGGCUUAACCGAUAGGCGUCCAAGGGAUACUGGCAAUCUAGGGACCGGGAGAGGUGAGGGGUACUUCAGGGGUAGGAGUGAAAUCCUGUAAUCCUUGGGGGACCACCUGUGGCGUAGGCGCCUCACCAGAACGGCUCCGACAGUGAGGGACGAAAGCUGGGGGAGCAAACCGGAUUAGAUACCCGGGUAGUCCCAGCCGUAAACGAUGCGCGUUAGGUGUAUCGAUGACCACGAGUCAUCGAGGUGCCGAAGGGAAACCGUGAAACGCGCCGCCUGGGAAGUACGGUCGCAAGGCUGAAACUUAAAG
RNAcentral lists this ribosomal RNA (772 nucleotides) under uncultured Methanomicrobiaceae archaeon. RNAcentral describes it as "bacterial SSU rRNA". It matches the Rfam family "Archaeal small subunit ribosomal RNA", at positions 84 to 861 of the family's 1478-position model. Lineage: Archaea; Methanobacteriati; Methanobacteriota; Methanomicrobia; Methanomicrobiales; Methanomicrobiaceae. The record is from RNAcentral.